RNAcentral lists this long non-coding RNA (1803 nucleotides) under Sparus aurata (gilthead seabream). RNAcentral's name for it is "lncRNA (ENSSAUG00010023000.1)". The record is from RNAcentral. Lineage: Eukaryota; Metazoa; Chordata; Actinopteri; Spariformes; Sparidae.
AUGCAUGUCACAGUUAAGAUUAGACUUGGGAAGACACGUUUGACUGAACCACUGAAGAUAUCCAACUGUGCUGACAUCAUUGGACCACCAACCUCUGUCCUGUGUCGGCAGUGUAUUGAGGCUGGAUGUGGCUGGAACAUAAACCGCUGUUCUUGGGCAAAUCAAGGAGAGAGGAAUGUAAAUAUGCAUGCUUCUAUGUAUUUAUCAAUUGUUUUCCUCUAGACUUCAUACAUGUUGUACUAGCACGUUUUUGCAAAUUUGAACAACAUUGCAUCAGUAAUGUGGUCAUUUUAAGAUAUUUAUAAAACUGAAGACUGAUCAACAAGUUAUUUUACCAGGACAUGUGUAACCUAUGUUAGCAACUGGAAACCAUUAGCAAAUACAGUGAAGCCUACUAAUUGGAAAUGUGUUGAUUCUGCUACAAUUUUCAUUGUAGAAUUUAUGACCGACUCAAGAAUACAAAACAAGGAUUGACUUUAUCUGUUCAUUUUUUUUAAUAAAUGUAGUUAUUAUACCUAGCUCAUUAUAUAAUAUGAAAAUAAAUAUAUUAUAUAUAUUGAAUAUAAAUUGAAAUGUUUAAAUCUUUUUGUUAAGAAAUAGUCUUACAUUUUUAGAAAUCCACUUAUUACUCAGGCUAGCCUAACCCAGUCUGGAUUUAACCUAGAUUAGAACACAGGGGAAACAACAUGAAACAGCUAGUUCCCAUCAAAAGUUACUAAAAGAAAUGGCCUCCAGCAACAGCAGAACAGUCUUUUAACAUGUUUUGUCUCGAUAGCUAAUGAUAGCAGACUAGUGACUAAUAGACUCACCACUCUGCUGUGGCUCAGAGAUACUCAGUGUUUCAGAGCUCAGUAGGCCUACAUUUAGCUGAUCGAUUAUUAACGAAGCUGCUUGUUAAACCCUAACAUCUAAUUUUCUAAACUGCACAUGUUAAUCAAACAUGUAAUUUAGAUUGCAUUGUAGUUGUAGGAAUAUACCUUAGACUAGUUGUUUUCUACUGUUUUCAGUUUUUUAGCAUAGCUAACAUUAGCUGAAACAGCUCCUGAAUCAUCACUUAAUAGUGACACUGAAUGUGAACAUGACAUAUCUUUCUCUCACUUCCUGCAGCACAGUGGAAAAAAACACAAGUUACAGCCAUUAUGUGGUACCUUUAAAUGGACUGGCAUGUAAACCUGCUACAUUUCUUCCCUUCAUCUCUUCUUGCAGGACAGUCUUUGCCAAAAGUUGGAUUCAGGGAUGAACAUCUCUGUGAGUCUGAACUUCAAUUCUCACAAAGAUAAAGAUAAUAUUAAAGAUAACACACUGGAAAUUAUAAUCUCUGUAUGUGUUUUACUGUCAGAGACCAGAGAUCUCCUCCAUUACUCCCAGUGUCAUAUCUUUCUACGGCAAAAACAAUGCAGUGUUGUCCGGUCAUAACCUUCAUGAUGUGACCAGAGUGAGGAUCCAGGCAGACAUGGACUGCACUCCACAAGAGUGAGUCAGUUUUUUGGGGAUGUGUAAGUCUUGUAAAACAAGUAAAAGAGAAACAAAAAAAUGAAACCAUUUGAUAGGAGCAGAGUAAGGAGGAUGAAUUGAGGAGUCUUACGGCCUGAGGAAAGAAGCCACUUCGUAGUCUGGUUCAGUGGAUACUUCUGUAUCUUGUGCCAGGUGAACAAACUAUGGCUGGGUUGGGUGUUGUCCUUUGGGCUCUGUGCAGACACCUCACUUCACUGGUAUCACAAGGCAAAGCAAGUUUAUUUGUAUAACACAAUUCAGACACAAGGCAACUCAAAGUGCUUUACAGGAGCUUACAAUUAACAUUAA